GACGAACGCUGGCGGCGUGCUUCAUACAUGCAAGUCGAACGAGAAUCUAUCUUCGGAUAGAGGAAAGUGGCGGACGGGUGAGUAAUAUGUAGAGAAUCUGCCCUUGAGAGGGGGACAACAGAGGGAAACUUCUGCUAAUACCCCAUAUGAGCGUAGCUGAAAUGCUAUUCUUGAAAACUCCGGUGCUCAAGGAUGAGUCUGCAUCUGAUUAGCUAGUUGGUGGUGUAAUGGACUACCAAGGCGACGAUCAGUAGCUGGUUUGAGAGGAUGAUCAGCCACAAUGGGACGUGAGACACGGCCCACUACUCCUAC
This 312-nucleotide ribosomal RNA is filed under the name uncultured bacterium. RNAcentral's name for it is "bacterial SSU rRNA". It matches the Rfam family "Bacterial small subunit ribosomal RNA", at positions 28 to 342 of the family's 1533-position model. The record is from RNAcentral.